AUUGAACGCUGGCGGCAUGCUUUACACAUGCAAGCCGAACGGCAGCGCGGGCUUCGGCCUGGCGGCGAGUGGCGAACGGGUGAGUAAUGCAUCGGAACGUGCCCAGGAGUGGGGGAUAGCCCGGCGAAAGCCGGAUUAAUACCGCAUACGACCUGAGGGUGAAAGCGGGGGACCGAAAGGCCUCGCGCUAUUGGAGCGGCCGAUGUCGGAUUAGCUAGUUGGUGGGGUAAAGGCUUACCAAGGCGACGAUCCGUAGCUGGUCUGAGAGGACGACCAGCCACACUGGGACUGAGACACGGCCCAGACUCCUACGGGAGGCAGCAGUGGGGAAUUUUGGACAAUGGGGGCAACCCUGAUCCAGCCAUGCCGCGUGCGGGAAGAAGGCCUUCGGGUUGUAAACCGCUUUUGUUCGGGAAGAAAUCCUCUGGGCUAAUACCCCGGGGGGAUGACGGUACCGGAAGAAUAAGCACCGGCUAACUACGUG
Molecule: ribosomal RNA, 484 nt
Filed under: uncultured bacterium
Lineage: Bacteria
Description: partial 16S ribosomal RNA
Rfam family: Bacterial small subunit ribosomal RNA
Source: RNAcentral